AUACGUAGGGCGCAAGCGUUAUCCGGAAUUAUUGGGCGUAAAGAGCUCGUAGGCGGUUUGUCGCGUCUGCCGUGAAAGUCCGGGGCUCAACUCCGGAUCUGCGGUGGGUACGGGCAGACUAGAGUGAUGUAGGGGAGACUGGAAUUCCUGGUGUAGCGGUGAAAUGCGCAGAUAUCAGGAGGAACACCGAUGGCGAAGGCAGGUCUCUGGGCAUUAACUGACGCUGAGGAGCGAAAGCAUGGGGAGCGAACAGGAUUAGAUACCCUGGUAGUCCAUGCCGUAAACGUUGGGCACUAGGUGUGGGGGACAUUCCACGUUUUCCGCGCCGUAGCUAACGCAUUAAGUGCCCCGCCUGGGGAGUACGGCCGCAAGGCUAAAACUCAAAGGAAUUGACGGGGGCCCGCACAAGCGGCGGAGCAUGCGGAUUAAUUCGAUGCAACGCGAAGAACCUUACCAAGGCUUGACAUGAACCGGAAACACCUGGAGACAGGUGCCCCGCUUGCGGUCGGUUUACAGGUGGUGCAUGGUUGUCGUCAGCUCGUGUCGUGAGAUGUUGGGUUAAGUCCCGCAACGAGCGCAACCCUCGUUCUAUGUUGCCAGCACGUGAUGGUGGGGACUCAUAGGAGACUGCCGGGGUCAACUCGGAGGAAGGUGGGGACGACGUCAAAUCAUCAUGCCCCUUAUGUCUUGGGCUUCACGCAUGCUACAAUGGCCGGUACAAAGGGUUGCGAUACUGUGAGGUGGAGCUAAUCCCAAAAAGCCGGUCUCAGUUCGGAUUGGGGUCUGCAACUCGACCCCAUGAAGUCGGAGUCGCUAGUAAUCGCAGAUCAGCAACGCUGCGGUGAAUACGUUCCCGG
RNAcentral lists this ribosomal RNA (857 nucleotides) under uncultured bacterium. Its description in RNAcentral is "bacterial SSU rRNA". It matches the Rfam family "Bacterial small subunit ribosomal RNA", at positions 523 to 1377 of the family's 1533-position model. The record is from RNAcentral.